Molecule: ribosomal RNA, 359 nt
Filed under: uncultured Flavobacteriaceae bacterium
Lineage: Bacteria; Pseudomonadati; Bacteroidota; Flavobacteriia; Flavobacteriales; Flavobacteriaceae
Description: bacterial SSU rRNA
Rfam family: Bacterial small subunit ribosomal RNA
Source: RNAcentral
ACAGGGGGAUAGCCCAGAGAAAUUUGGAAUAAUACCCCAUACGAUCAUUAAUCGGCAUCGAUUGAUGAAGAAAACUCCGGUGGUAGAAGAUGGGCAUGCGUCCUAUUAGUUAGUUGGUGAGGUAACGGCUCACCAAGACGUCGAUAGGUAGGGGUCCUGAGAGGGAGAUCCCCCACACUGGUACUGAGACACGGACCAGACUCCUACGGGAGGCAGCAGUGAGGAAUAUUGGACAAUGGAGGCAACUCUGAUCCAGCCAUGCCGCGUGCAGGAAGACGGCCCUAUGGGUUGUAAACUGCUUUUAUACAGGAAGAAUUGUACCUACGUGUAGGUAUUUGACGGUACUGUACGAAUAAGGA